This 253-nucleotide ribosomal RNA is filed under the name uncultured bacterium. Its description in RNAcentral is "partial 16S ribosomal RNA". It matches the Rfam family "Bacterial small subunit ribosomal RNA", at positions 524 to 776 of the family's 1533-position model. The record is from RNAcentral.
UACGGAGGAGGCAAGCGUUAUCCGGAAUUAUUGGGCGUAAAGCGUCCGUAGGUGGCUAGUCAAGUCUGCGGUCAAAGACUGGGGCUUAACCCUGGAAAGGCCGUGGAAACUGACGAGCUAGAGUGCAGUAGGGGUAGAGGGAAUUCCCGGUGUAGCGGUGAAAUGCGUAGAGAUCGGGAAGAACAUCGGUGGCGAAAGCGCUCUACUGGACUGCAACUGACACUCAGGGACGAAAGCUAGGGGAGCGAAUGGG